RNAcentral lists this ribosomal RNA (269 nucleotides) under uncultured Planctomycetales bacterium. RNAcentral describes it as "partial 16S ribosomal RNA". It matches the Rfam family "Bacterial small subunit ribosomal RNA", at positions 565 to 832 of the family's 1533-position model. The record is from RNAcentral. Lineage: Bacteria; Pseudomonadati; Planctomycetota; Planctomycetia; Planctomycetales.
GAGCACGUAGGUGGGUUUGUAAGUCAGAUGUGAAAGCCUUCUGUUCAACGGAAGAAUUGCAUCUGAAACUGCGAGUCUUGAGUGUAGGAGGGGGGAAUGGAACUUCUGGUGGAGCGGUGAAAUGCGUAGAUAUCAGAAGGAACUCCGGCGGCGAAAGCGAUUCUCUGGCCUAUUACUGACACUCAGUGUGCGAAAGCUAGGGGAGCAAACGGGAUUAGAUACCCCGGUAGUCCUAGCCGUAAACGAUGGGCACUAAGUAGAGGGGUUUU